CCAAUAGCGUAUAUUAAAGUUGUUGUGGUUAAAAAGCUCGUAGUUGAACCUUGGGCCUGGCUUGCCGGUCCGCCUCACCGCGUGUACUGGUCCGGCCGGGCCUUUCCCUCUGUGGAACCUCAUGCCCUUCACUGGGUGUGACGGGGAAGCAGGACUUUUACUGUGAAAAAAUUAGAGUGCUCCAAGCAGGCCUAUGCUCGAAUACAUUAGCAUGGAAUAAUAAAAUAGGACGUGCGGUUCUAUUUUGUUGGUUUCUAGGACCGCCGUAAUGAUUAAUAGGGACAGUCGGGGGCAUCAGUAUUCAAUUGUCAGAGGUGAAAUUCUUGGAUUUAUUGAAGACUAACUACUGCGAAAGCAUUUGCCAAGGAAGUUUUCAUUAAUCAGGAACGAAAGUUAGGGGAUCGAAGACGAUCAGAUACCGUCGUAGUCUUAACCAUAAACUAUGCCGACUAGGGAUCGGGCGGUGUUUCUAUUGUGACCCGCUCGGCACCUUACG
This 496-nucleotide unclassified non-coding RNA is filed under the name uncultured Paraglomus. RNAcentral's name for it is "SSU rRNA". It matches the Rfam family "Eukaryotic small subunit ribosomal RNA", at positions 591 to 1092 of the family's 1831-position model. The record is from RNAcentral. Lineage: Eukaryota; Fungi; Glomeromycota; Glomeromycetes; Paraglomerales; Paraglomeraceae.